ACAGCAGUAGCCGCGGUAAUACGAAGGGGGCUAGCGUUGCUCGGAAUGACUGGGCGUAAAGGGCGCGUAGGCGGAUGGCACAGUCAGAUGUGAAAUUCCUGGGCUUAACCUGGGGGCUGCAUUUGAGACGUGUUGUCUAGAGUGUGAAAGAGGGUCGUGGAAUUCCCAGUGUAGAGGUGAAAUUCGUAGAUAUUGGGAAGAACACCGGUGGCGAAGGCGGCGACCUGGUUCAUAACUGACGCUGAGGCGCGAAAGCGUGGGGAGCAAACAGGAUUAGAUACCCCGGUAGUCCCUGUCUCUUAUAC
RNAcentral lists this ribosomal RNA (305 nucleotides) under uncultured bacterium. RNAcentral describes it as "partial 16S ribosomal RNA". It matches the Rfam family "Bacterial small subunit ribosomal RNA", at positions 508 to 807 of the family's 1533-position model. The record is from RNAcentral.